This 437-nucleotide ribosomal RNA is filed under the name uncultured bacterium. Its description in RNAcentral is "partial 16S ribosomal RNA". It matches the Rfam family "Bacterial small subunit ribosomal RNA", at positions 339 to 795 of the family's 1533-position model. The record is from RNAcentral.
CUACGGGAGGCUCCAGUGAGGAAUAUUGCACAAUGGGGGGAACCCUGAUGCAGCAACGCCGCGGAGGAUGACGCAUUUCGGUGUGUAAACUCCUUUUAUAUGUCAAGAAAAUGACGGUAGCAUAUGAAUAAGCACCGGCUAACUCCGUGCCAGCAGCCGCGGUAAUACGGAGGGUGCAAGCGUUACUCGGAAUCACUGGGCGUAAAGGACGCGUAGGCGGGUUGGAAAGUCAGGUGUGAAAUCCUACAGCUUAACUGUAGAACUGCACUUGAAACUUCUAAUCUAGAGUAUGGGAGGGGGAGAUGGAAUUAGUGGUGUAGGGGUAAAAUCCGUAGAUAUCACUAGGAAUACCUAAAGCGAAGGCGAUCUCCUGGAACAUUACUGACGCUAAGGCGUGAAAGCGUGGGGAGCAAACAGGAUUAGAUACCCGCGUAGUC